AGGGACUUUUGGGGGCAGAUGUG
RNAcentral lists this non-coding RNA (23 nucleotides) under Xenopus laevis (African clawed frog). RNAcentral also lists the same sequence under 27 other names. The record is from RNAcentral. Lineage: Eukaryota; Metazoa; Chordata; Amphibia; Anura; Pipidae.